This 1343-nucleotide ribosomal RNA is filed under the name uncultured bacterium. Its description in RNAcentral is "16S ribosomal RNA". It matches the Rfam family "Bacterial small subunit ribosomal RNA", at positions 28 to 1378 of the family's 1533-position model. The record is from RNAcentral.
GACGAACGCUUGCGGCGUGCUUAACACAUGCAAGUCGAACGGAAAGGCCCUGCUUUUGUGGGGUGCUCGAGUGGCGAACGGGUGAGUAACACGUGAGUAACCUGCCCUUGACUUUGGGAUAACUUCAGGAAACUGGGGCUAAUACCGGAUAGGAGCUCCUGCUGCAUGGUGGGGGUUGGAAAGUUUCGGCGGUUGGGGAUGGACUCGCGGCUUAUCAGCUUGUUGGUGGGGUAGUGGCUUACCAAGGCUUUGACGGGUAGCCGGCCUGAGAGGGUGACCGGCCACAUUGGGACUGAGAUACGGCCCAGACUCCUACGGGAGGCAGCAGUGGGGAAUAUUGCACAAUGGGCGGAAGCCUGAUGCAGCAACGCCGCGUGCGGGAUGACGGCCUUCGGGUUGUAAACCGCUUUCGCCUGUGACGAAGCGUGAGUGACGGUAAUGGGUAAAGAAGCACCGGCUAACUACGUGCCAGCAGCCGCGGUGAUACGUAGGGUGCGAGCGUUGUCCGGAUUUAUUGGGCGUAAAGAGCUCGUAGGUGGUUGAUCGCGUCGGAAGUGUAAUCUUGGGGCUUAACCCUGAGCGUGCUUUCGAUACGGGUUGACUUGAGGAAGGUAGGGGAGAAUGGAAUUCCUGGUGGAGCGGUGGAAUGCGCAGAUAUCAGGAGGAACACCAGUGGCGAAGGCGGUUCUCUGGGCCUUUCCUGACGCUGAGGAGCGAAAGCGUGGGGAGCGAACAGGCUUAGAUACCCUGGUAGUCCACGCUGUAAACGGUGGGUACUAGGUGUGGGGUCCAUUCCACGGGUUCCGUGCCGUAGCUAACGCUUUAAGUACCCCGCCUGGGGAGUACGGCCGCAAGGCUAAAACUCAAAGGAAUUGACGGGGCCCCGCACAAGCGGCGGAGCAUGCGGAUUAAUUCGAUGCAACGCGUAGAACCUUACCUGGGUUUGACAUGGAUCGGGAGUGCUCAGAGAUGGGUGUGCCUCUUUUGGGGUCGGUUCACAGGUGGUGCAUGGCUGUCGUCAGCUCGUGUCGUGAGAUGUUGGGUUAAGUCCCGCAACGAGCGCAACCCUUGUUCACUGUUGCCAGCACGUUAUGGUGGGGACUCAGUGGAGACCGCCGGGGUCAACUCGGAGGAAGGUGGGGAUGACGUCAAGUCAUCAUGCCCCUUAUGUCCAGGGCUUCACGCAUGCUACAAUGGCUGGUACAGAGAGUGGCGAGCCUGUGAGGGUGAGCGAAUCUCGGAAAGCCGGUCUCAGUUCGGAUUGGGGUCUGCAACUCGACCUCAUGAAGUCGGAGUCGCUAGUAAUCGCAGAUCAGCAACGCUGCGGUGAAUACGUUCCCGGG